RNAcentral lists this long non-coding RNA (1277 nucleotides) under Mytilus galloprovincialis (Mediterranean mussel). The record is from RNAcentral. Lineage: Eukaryota; Metazoa; Mollusca; Bivalvia; Mytilida; Mytilidae.
UUAAUAAAUUGUUUAAACAUAACAUUUUUUUUCACAAUCAUGUUGGUGAACAUAUUGAAGUAAUUCCAUUUUUUGUACUACGCCUAUUCUGAACAUGACUUCUACGAUUUUUUUUUAAUCUCUUGUUAUAUCCAUGUAUAAGAUGCACUGACAUUAAAUUUUCAUGUCAUAGGAGUACAUGUUUAGAAAAAAAUAUUUAAGAGUAAAAUUCAAUAAACCAUCAUGAUGUAUUCUAUCGAAAUAGUGUCACAAAUCAUGUGCAAAAUGACAAAUAUGAGACUGGAACAUCCAAUAGGUCCGUACAUUGAAGUUUCAUAAAUACGCGGACUGAUCGUGCGAAGAAAAACUAUCUAGACUUGACUCUAUACAUAUCAUGUACACAAUAGGGCUGCAAACUGUUUAUAAAUAAUUCAAAUUACUGAACAGAAUAUUGUUGAAAAGUUUUGUCGGUUUGUGUUUAUCAAAAUGUCCGAAAUCAUUACACGUUACUUUUUACUGCUUUUUACUGCUGAUUACUUAAACAAUUUAGUUACAAUGUAAUAACUACAUGUUCUUAACACAUCAGACUUAUAUGUACCUUUUUAUACGACUGCAAAAUAAUGUGCAGUUGUAUAUUGGUAUCACGUCGUCUUCGUCGUUCUUUAUAUUGGGACUUGUGCAUGUGUUACAAUUUUCCAUGCUAUAAGUAUUACAUUCUUUUUCUUAUGCUGAAUCAAACUGUAUUACUAUAUUUAGUUGUUGGACUUAUUUUCUAGUUGAUCCAAAUGUUGGUGCUAAGGCUAUAAAAUGUGUUUUGUUUGAUUUGAUAAACAUUAAAUAAAAUUUAUAAGAUAAUAAUUACAAUGCUUUAUUUAUAUUACCUCCCUUACAUUGCUUUUAAACUAUGUAAAGUUGUCAGCUAGUUAUAGCAUGAAUUACUUUUUAGCUGUUUCUAGAAACAUCAAAAACUGUAAUGGUAGUAUGCAUUAUAUAAUAAUAGUGUAUAUCAAAGUGUUCAGUGGUAAUACAUAUUCAUAUUCAGAAUGGUUUGUUUUGUUUUUUUGUUUUUUUUUUAGCUUUACGAGUUACCUCCCUUACAAUUGUUUUGAUAUAAAGAAAAGUUGUAUUGUCUUAAGGUGAUUAGCAGUCAAUUUAUUUUAAGAAGAAAUUUUUAAAUGUUGUGAAUAUAUAUAUUAAUUUUAGCCAUGAUUAUGUAUGUCAUAAAAAGUAAAAUCACAAAAAUACUGAACACCGAGGAAAAUUCAAUCGGAAAGUCCCUAAUCACAUGGCAAAAUAAA